CACGGGGAGAGAAGGAACCCUCGGAUGCCCCCAGAUCUCCUCUCCUCUCCCAGCCCCCACCCACUCAGCCCCAGGAAGGGUGGUGUGGCUGAACAAGCCAAUGCCUCUCCUGGAGGGAAUGUCAUCGAUGGAGGAAAUAAGCACUUUCCAGACACUUAGAAGCUGUCGCCAUCUCCUGAGGGUCCAGGCCAGGAGGGAAGCCCAGAGGUCAAGGACGGAGGGUUCGCCUCCACCGGGAAACUGGAAACGCAUCCAGGACCUGUUGAAGAAGCUGUGGUAGAGAAGUAUGGAUUUUAUUACAAAGAAAUCAGUGUUGUUGCUUUGAGCACCCUGUCCCCCAGCACGGCCGUGUCCCAGAGUCUGCACCUGCUCUCCUUCCCUGACUGGAAUGCAGCCCUCCUCCCUACCCCCAUGCAAGUCCUCCCUGGACCCCCAGGCCCAGCUCCAGAACCUCGCCCACCAGGGAGAGACGAGAGUAUGGUCUGCUUUGCUCUGCCCAGUGAUUCUUGGGGAAGCUGCCAAUCACUGGACGCAGGAUGCACCCUGUCCCAGCCAGACCAAUGCACGUCCCUCUUGCUGUGCUAGCCGGCAACAAUCCCGGUCUUUCCUGAGAUCUUUCUAACUGGAGUUACGGGAAAGCUAUUUUUCCUCCCUGGUCCUGAAGCUGUAGUUUGUAAGCCCGAAGCUACCUGUGGCCAAGGUUCCCACCUCAUGGAGACAGGAGGAUGGAGUAAGACAUCAGCACACAGAGGAGAGCAGAGAUGAGAGAAGGAGGGAGAAUGCCUCGUUCCCGCCGUCCCCAGAGCCAGCACCAGCCUUGCCCACAGUCUGAGCGCACGAGCCAUCUACUCCUUUGAUCCUCUCUUCCUUCCAUAAACUAGUCCAAGUUGAGCUUCUCUCAUUAAUAACAAGAAAAAAUCCUAACUAAAUAUUUGCUCCCAAAGCCUCCUCUGACUCAUUCUGCCUUCACUGUUCUCCUAGCCAAGAACAAAGGCUGCCGUCUACGGAGCUUCCACAACAUGCCAGACACAGGCUAGAUCUUUCAGUACAUCACCCAUACACACAUACACGCAUGCAC
RNAcentral lists this long non-coding RNA (1078 nucleotides) under Equus caballus (horse). Its description in RNAcentral is "lncRNA (ENSECAG00000050140.1)". Lineage: Eukaryota; Metazoa; Chordata; Mammalia; Perissodactyla; Equidae. The record is from RNAcentral.